GACGAACCGUGCGAACGUUGUUCGGAAUCACUGGGCUUAAAGGGCGCGUAGGCGGGCCUCCAAGUCCGGGGUGAAAUCCUCCGGCUCAACCGGAGAACUGCCUCGGAUACUGGAGGCCUCGAGGCGGGUAGGGGCAUGCGGAACUGUGGGUGGAGCGGUGAAAUGCGUUGAUAUCCACAGGAACUCCGGUGGCGAAGGCGGCAUGCUGGACCCGAUCUGACGCUGAGGCGCGAAAGCCAGGGGAGCAAACGGG
This 253-nucleotide ribosomal RNA is filed under the name uncultured bacterium. RNAcentral's name for it is "partial 16S ribosomal RNA". It matches the Rfam family "Bacterial small subunit ribosomal RNA", at positions 524 to 776 of the family's 1533-position model. The record is from RNAcentral.